CCUACGGGGGGCUGCAGUGGGGAAUAUUGCACAAUGGGCGCAAGCCUGAUGCAGCGACGCCGCGUGGGGGAUGACGGCCUUCGGGUUGUAAACCUCUUUCAGUAUCGGCGAAGCUCCAGGAUUUUUCUUGGGGUGACGGUAGGUACAGAAGAAGCACCGGCCAACUACGUGCCAGCAGCCGCGGUAAUACGUAGGGUGCGAGCGUUGUCCGGAAUUACUGGGCGUAAAGAGCUCGUAGGUGGUUUGUCACGUUGUCCGUGAAAACUCACAGCUUA
This 275-nucleotide ribosomal RNA is filed under the name uncultured Mycobacterium sp. RNAcentral describes it as "partial 16S ribosomal RNA". It matches the Rfam family "Bacterial small subunit ribosomal RNA", at positions 338 to 611 of the family's 1533-position model. Lineage: Bacteria; Bacillati; Actinomycetota; Actinomycetes; Mycobacteriales; Mycobacteriaceae. The record is from RNAcentral.